UUACUAACGACGAUAUGCUUUGGGGAGCUGUAAGUAAGCUUUGAUCCAGAGAUUUCCGAAUGGGGAAACCCAACAUGAGUUAUGUCAUGUUAUCGAUAUGUGAAUACAUAGCAUAUCAGAAGGCACACCCGGAGAACUGAAACAUCUUAGUACCCGGAGGAAGAGAAAGAAAAUUCGAUUCCCUUAGUAGCGGCGAGCGAAACGGGAAGAGCCCAAACCAACAAGCUUGCUUGUUGGGGUUGUAGGACACUCUAUACGGAGUUACAAAGGACGACAUUAGACGAAUCAUCUGGAAAGAUGAAUCAAAGAAGGUAAUAAUCCUGUAGUCGA
Molecule: ribosomal RNA, 330 nt
Filed under: Staphylococcus argenteus
Lineage: Bacteria; Bacillati; Bacillota; Bacilli; Caryophanales; Staphylococcaceae
Description: partial 23S ribosomal RNA
Rfam family: Bacterial large subunit ribosomal RNA
Source: RNAcentral